Molecule: long non-coding RNA, 896 nt
Filed under: Capsella rubella
Lineage: Eukaryota; Viridiplantae; Streptophyta; Magnoliopsida; Brassicales; Brassicaceae
Description: long non-coding RNA (CRUB_LNC000525)
Source: RNAcentral
UAGGGUUUAGGGUUUGGGGUUUGUGGUUUAGAGUUUAUGGUUUAGGGAUUAGGGUUUUCCUUCCAAAAAAGAUCCCGUAAAAUAUUUUACCUUGAAAAUUUUCAGACAAAAAGUUUCUCGCCCAGAAGUUAUUGUCAAAAAUUUCCCGUCAAAAUAUUUUCCGCCAAAAUAAUUCCAACCAAAAUUUUCCCCCCAAAUUGUUUUUGAUAGAAAUAGUACAAGAAAUAUUGACAAAAAAUUGAUUUAUAAUUAAAAAAAAAAGAGAAAUCAACAAAUAGCUCUAGAACGACAAAGCUUUUUAGGGUUUGGGGUUUAGGGUUUAGUGUUUGGGUUUUAGGGUUUAGGGUGUAGGGUUUCCUUUCCAAGAAUUCCCGGAAAAAAAUUUCCCGCCAAAAUUUUCUGACAACCGCCAAAAAGUUUUGACAAAAUUUCCCGCAAAAUAUUUCCCGCAAAAAUUUUCCGCCAAAUUUUUUUUAACAGAAAUAGUACAGGAAAUUUGGACACAAAAAUCGACAUAUAAUUUGAAAAAUUAAAGAUAUCAACCAUCAUCUCUAGAACGACAAAUCUCCUUAGGGUUUAGGGUUUGGGAUUUAGGGUUUAGGGUUUAGGGUUUAGGGUUUGGGGUUUGUGGUUUAGAGUUUAUGGUUUAGGGAUUAGGGUUUUCCUUCCAAAAAAGACCCCGUAAAAUAUUUUACCUUGAAAAUUUUCAGACAAAAAGUUUCUCGCCCAGAAGUUAUUGUCAAAAAUUUCCCGUCAAAAUAUUUUCCGCCAAAAAAAUUCCAACCAAAAUUUUCCCCCCAAAUUGUUUUUGAUAGAAAUAGUACAAGAAAUAUUGACAAAAAAUUGAUUUAUAAUUAAAAAAAAAAGAGAAAUCAACAAAUAGCUCUAGAACGACA